UGAGAUAUUAAUUGACCUGUCCUGUUGUGGCAUAUUUACUCCUAGUUAGAACUUGGAAUCUAUCAUAUUGUUAUGUAACUGUUUACUCUUUGGUAUCGUUUUGAUAGCUUCUUAUCUCAGUUUUACUUUUUUGCAUUAAAGACUCAGAUGCUUCGGUCUGGCACAUAUAUCUUCUACAAACAUAUGCCCUUAUUUUCUCUUUGGGCCAUAUAUAUUUGUCUGAACCUGAUAUUUACCUUGUUAUAUACUUGUGCAGUAAGUGGAUGUACUAAUGGAGUCAAAGGGUGGCAAAAAGAAGUCUAGCAGUAGUCGUUCCUUGAUGUAUGAAGCUCCCCUUGGCUACAGCAUUGAGGACGUUCGACCUGCCGGAGGCGUGAAGAAGUUCCAGUCUGCUGCUUACUCCAACGUAAGCAUCAAAUACAGAUUUAAUUCCCUCCUUUGUAUCUUCCGAUGUGUUGCUAAUCAUGUCAAUUGUUCCUUUUGUUGCAGUGCGCGAAGAAGCCAUCCUGAUAGCCCUUUCGGCUUCUCCAUCCUAGUAGUUUAGGAUUUCUUGCAAUUCCAUUUUGGCACUUUUCUUCUGACCUAUUUCUCUGGCUGCUGCUUCCUGAUAAUCGACCAGUUCUCUAGUCUUGCUCCCUGCACUCCUCCCUCCUCCAUCUCCGGCACAGUGUUCUGACCAACCUGCUCCAAUGGGUGUCUUGUCUGCUGCUGACCCUCCCCCAGUCUCAGCAAUUGGGUUUGAGGGCUAUGAGAAGCGCCUUGAGAUCACUUUCUCUGAGGCACCUGUCUUUGCUGACCCUGAUGGUCGGGGUUUGCGCGCCCUCUCCAGGGCCCAGAUUGACUCUGUUCUGGAUCUUGCACGGUGCACCAUUGUGUCCGAGCUGUCCAACAAGGACUUUGACUCCUAUGUCCUCUCUGAGUCCAGCCUGUUUAUCUAUUCUGAUAAGAUUGUGAUUAAGACCUGUGGGACUACAAAGCUCCUGCUCACAAUUCCAAGGAUUCUUGAGCUUGCUGAAGGGCUUUCUAUGCCACUUGCUGCUGU
Molecule: long non-coding RNA, 1042 nt
Filed under: Oryza sativa (Asian cultivated rice)
Lineage: Eukaryota; Viridiplantae; Streptophyta; Magnoliopsida; Poales; Poaceae
Description: long non-coding RNA (OSAT_LNC000810)
Source: RNAcentral